UACGUAGGGUGCAAGCGUUAAUCGGAAUUGCUGGGCGUAAAGCGUGCGCAGGCGGUUAUGUAAGACAGAGGUGAAAUCCCCGGGCUCAACCUGGGAACUGCCUUUGUGACUGUAUAGCUGGAGUACGGCAGAGGGGGAUGGAAUUCCGCGUGUAGCAGUGAAAUGCGUAGAUAUGCGGAGGAACACCGAUGGCGAAGGCAAUACCCUGUGACUGUACUGACGCUCAUGCACGAAAGCGUGGGGAGCAAACAGG
RNAcentral lists this ribosomal RNA (253 nucleotides) under uncultured bacterium. Its description in RNAcentral is "partial 16S ribosomal RNA". It matches the Rfam family "Bacterial small subunit ribosomal RNA", at positions 524 to 776 of the family's 1533-position model. The record is from RNAcentral.